RNAcentral lists this ribosomal RNA (838 nucleotides) under Desulfovibrio piger. RNAcentral describes it as "partial 23S ribosomal RNA". It matches the Rfam family "Bacterial large subunit ribosomal RNA", at positions 688 to 1532 of the family's 2925-position model. Lineage: Bacteria; Pseudomonadati; Thermodesulfobacteriota; Desulfovibrionia; Desulfovibrionales; Desulfovibrionaceae. The record is from RNAcentral. RNAcentral also lists the same sequence under 2 other names.
AAGGGCGAUGAGUAGUGCGGAUUAGACCCGAAACCGGGUGAUCUAUCCAUGAGCAGGUUGAAGCAAGGGUAAAACCUUGUGGAGGACCGAACCAAUACCGGCUGAAAACGGUUUGGAUGACUUGUGGAUAGGGGUGAAAGGCCAAUCAAACCCGGUGAUAGCUGGUUCUCCCCGAAAUAUAUUGAGGUAUAGCCUCAUGGAUUGUCUACCGGAGGUAAAGCACUGACAGGGCUAGGGGUCCUACCAGAUUACCAAACCCUAUCAAACUCAGAAUGCCGGUCAGAUGUACCAUGGGAGUCAGACGGCGGGUGCUAAGGUCCGUCGUCGAGAGGGUAAGAGCCCAGAUCAACAGCUAAGGUCUCCAAAUCUAUGCUCAGUGGUUAAGGUGGUGACGUUGUAGAGACACCCAGGACGUUGGCUUAGAAGCAGCCAUCGUUUAAAGAAAGCGUAAUAGCUCACUGGUCUAAUGACGUUGCGCCGAAAAUGUAACGGGGCUAAGCAUAGUACCGAAGCUUUGAAUUCCGCAUAUGCGGUCUGGUAGGGGAGCGUUCUUCACGGGCUGAAGGUGUGUCGUAAGGCAUGCUGGACUGUGGAGAAGUGAUUAUGCUGACAUGAGUAACGAUAAAACGGGUGAAAAACCCGUUCGCCGUAAACCCAAGGUUUUCCGGGUAAAGGUAAUCUUCCCGGAGUUAGUCGGCCCCUAAGGCGAGGCUGAAAGGCGUAGCUGAUGGGAAACGUGUUAAUAUUCACGUACUUGUGUGUUCGCGCGAUGAAGGGACGCAGGAAGAUAGGCAAGCCGGGCGCUGGUUGUCCCGGUGCAAGCGUGUAGGGAUGAGAA